Long non-coding RNA from Neopelma chrysocephalum (saffron-crested tyrant-manakin), 149 nucleotides. RefSeq lists it as uncharacterized. The record is from RefSeq and is a predicted model, not a curated record. Lineage: Eukaryota; Metazoa; Chordata; Aves; Passeriformes; Pipridae. The transcript is spliced from 3 exons.
UCAAUAAAUCUGACUCACAAAAGGGAAACAAGGGCUGACAAAAACCUCGUGAUCUGAAGGAGCUGGACCCUUCUCACAAGACCUGUUAAAGUUCUACCUUAUGGAUUAAGCCUGGCUCCAGCAGAAAUCAGAAAGGACUUUUUGAGAUG